Molecule: ribosomal RNA, 630 nt
Filed under: Bacillus sp. A103T1-2
Lineage: Bacteria; Bacillati; Bacillota; Bacilli; Caryophanales; Bacillaceae
Description: bacterial SSU rRNA
Rfam family: Bacterial small subunit ribosomal RNA
Source: RNAcentral
UGCAGUCGAGCGGACAGAAGGGAGCUUGCUCCCGGAUGUUAGCGGCGGACGGGUGAGUAACACGUGGGUAACCUGCCUGUAAGACUGGGAUAACUCCGGGAAACCGGAGCUAAUACCGGAUAGUUCCUUGAACCGCAUGGUUCAAGGAUGAAAGACGGUUUCGGCUGUCACUUACAGAUGGACCCGCGGCGCAUUAGCUAGUUGGUGGGGUAAUGGCUCACCAAGGCGACGAUGCGUAGCCGACCUGAGAGGGUGAUCGGCCACACUGGGACUGAGACACGGCCCAGACUCCUACGGGAGGCAGCAGUAGGGAAUCUUCCGCAAUGGACGAAAGUCUGACGGAGCAACGCCGCGUGAGUGAUGAAGGUUUUCGGAUCGUAAAGCUCUGUUGUUAGGGAAGAACAAGUGCGAGAGUAACUGCUCGCACCUUGACGGUACCUAACCAGAAAGCCACGGCUAACUACGUGCCAGCAGCCGCGGUAAUACGUAGGUGGCAAGCGUUGUCCGGAAUUAUUGGGCGUAAAGGGCUCGCAGGCGGUUUCUUAAGUCUGAUGUGAAAGCCCCCGGCUCAACCGGGGAGGGUCAUUGGAAACUGGGAAACUUGAGUGCAGAAGAGGAGAGUGGAAUUCC